CCUACGGGAGGCAGCAGUAGGGAAUCUUCCACAAUGGGCGAAAGCCUGAUGGAGCAACGCCGCGUGGGUGAAGAAGGUCUUCGGAUCGUAAAACCCUGUUGUUAGAGAAGAAAGUGCGUGAGAGUAACUGUUCACGUUUCGACGGUAUCUAACCAGAAAGCCACGGCUAACUACGUGCCAGCAGCCGCGGUAAUACGUAGGUGGCAAGCGUUAACCGGAUUUAUUGGGCGUAAAGGGAACGCAGGCGGUCUUUUAAGUCUGAUGUGAAAGCCUUCGGCUUAACCGGGGUAGUGCAUUGGAGACUGGGAGACUUGAGUGCAGAAGAGGAGAGUGGAACUCCAGGUGUAGCGGUGAAAUGCGUAGAUAUAUGGAAGAACACCAGUGGCGAAAGCGGCUCUCUGGACUGUAACUGACGCUGAGGUUCGAAAGCGUGGGUAGCAAACAGGAUUAGAUACCCUUGUAGUC
RNAcentral lists this ribosomal RNA (465 nucleotides) under uncultured bacterium. RNAcentral's name for it is "partial 16S ribosomal RNA". It matches the Rfam family "Bacterial small subunit ribosomal RNA", at positions 338 to 795 of the family's 1533-position model. The record is from RNAcentral.